Molecule: ribosomal RNA, 439 nt
Filed under: uncultured bacterium
Lineage: Bacteria
Description: bacterial SSU rRNA
Rfam family: Bacterial small subunit ribosomal RNA
Source: RNAcentral
AACGCGAAGAACCUUACCCAGACUUGACAUGCAGUAGAAGGCGCCAGAGAUGGUGAGUCCCGCAAGGGCUGCUGCACAGGUGCUGCAUGGCUGUCGUCAGCUCGUGCCGUGAGGUGUUGGGUUAAGUCCCGCAACGAGCGCAACCCUUAUCGUUAGUUGCCAGCGCGUAAAGGCGGGGACUCUAGCGAGACUGCCUGGGUUAACCAGGAGGAAGGUGAGGAUGACGUCAAGUCAGCAUGGCCCUUAUGUUUGGGGCUACACACGUGCUACAAUGGCCAGCACAGAAGGCAGCGAAACCGCGAGGUGGAGCAAAUCCCCAAAGCUGGUCUCAGUUCAGAUUGUAGUCUGCAACUCGACUACAUGAAGUUGGAAUUGCUAGUAAUGGCGUGUCAGCAACAACGCCGUGAAUACGUUCCCGGGCCUUGUACACACCGAUAGC